Molecule: long non-coding RNA, 1152 nt
Filed under: Cyanistes caeruleus (blue tit)
Lineage: Eukaryota; Metazoa; Chordata; Aves; Passeriformes; Paridae
Description: lncRNA (ENSCCEG00000019183.1)
Source: RNAcentral
AUGCUAAUGUUACACAAUGUUUACCCAGGACUAAGCUUGAUGGAAAUAUUAAUCAGAAAACAUAUAGGUUUCCAUAUUAAAGCUGAAGUUUUUGUAGCAACAUCAGGCCCUUACCAGAAGCUAGAGAUGUAUAUUUGCCAAGAGAAACAGCAAGAUAUUGCCAGCAGUAGGUUUGGGGAAAAUGGAAGCACAAGAACUGUUUUCAGUCUAGGUAAUCUCUCUCCCCUCAUCUCUGUGUUUAUUUGUGAGCAGAUGCUUCCAGGAGCUGUACCCCAAUUACUCAAAGCAGUGAUCCAUCAGGAAUCCAGCCACCCCAUUUGCAUUAUCUCCAUUACCUUCAGUGGAAAAGUUGCCCUGUCAGCCUGUCAGGAAGGCCUUGGACUUGCCAUUUUCAGGCAGUGCUCAUCCUCUGCCACAUUAGUACCCAUUGUGUAGGGGAGAGCAGCAGAGAGGCACAGCCAGCAGCCCUCCAAGGGCCAGCUUGUCCUACAUCUCACCCUGCAGCAGAGCUGGAGCACCAGGGACAGACUGACACAGUGAGCACGUGCAUGACAUGUUAAAGGAUUGCCACAGCUACGCUGCCCAGUGUGUUGAAAUUACACACAACUUUCCAUGGGUGCUGUAAAUGAAAAGGAUAAUUCAUUUAUGUAGAGAAGCAAUUACCUUGCUGGAACAACAAGUCCAACCUAUAGUUCCACCCAAGCUAAAUUAAGGCCACAACUCCUGCUAGACUUAUGAGAGUAGGGCAGGAACAUAGCACGUUGUUAAAUACAAGGCAAUAUUUAAUGUAACCCCAUGCCAGGUUUACAAGAGAAGCCAUGUAUCAUUUACUAAAGCAGUCAGUGAGUUGGGGCUUAUUAGGUAAAUGUUGGAGCUAUGGAAAACUGCCAUGGCCUUGUUCUAAAAAUUUUAAUCACAUCAUUAUUAGCCACAGUCCAUCUAAUAUAUUCAUGGCCAUUUAGUGGCCUAUACUAUGUGUUACUUGUAAAGACUGAAUGGAAAUGGCACUGAACAGAAUGUGUUGGGCAUAGUCAUCAGAACUGGGGUUGUUUCAAUACAGAAAUGUGAAAUAGAUUGAGGUUUAAGUGGUUUCAAAUUUUUGUGAGUUUGUUUUUCUUUGUUUUAUUUAAAUAAAUAUUCCUUAAAACCACA